This 1343-nucleotide ribosomal RNA is filed under the name uncultured bacterium. Its description in RNAcentral is "16S ribosomal RNA". It matches the Rfam family "Bacterial small subunit ribosomal RNA", at positions 28 to 1378 of the family's 1533-position model. The record is from RNAcentral.
GACGAACGCUGGCGGCGUGCUUAACACAUGCAAGUCGAACGGAAAGGCCCUGCUUUUGUGGGGUGCUCGAGUGGCGAACGGGUGAGUAACACGUGAGUAACCUGCCCUUGACUUUGGGAUAACUUCAGGAAACUGGGGCUAAUACCGGAUAGGAGCUCCUGCUGCAUGGUGGGGGUUGGAAAGUUUCGGCGGUUGGGGAUGGACUCGCGGCUUAUCAGCUUGUUGGUGGGGUAGUGGCUUACCAAGGCUUUGACGGGUAGCCGGCCUGAGAGGGUGACCGGCCACAUUGGGACUGAGAUACGGCCCAGACUCCUACGGGAGGCAGCAGUGGGGAAUAUUGCACAAUGGGCGGAAGCCUGAUGCAGCAACGCCGCGUGCGGGAUGACGGCCUUCGGGUUGUAAACCGCUUUCGCCUGUGACGAAGCGUGAGUGACGGUAAUGGGUAAAGAAGCACCGGCUAACUACGUGCCAGCAGCCGCGGUGAUACGUAGGGUGCGAGCGUUGUCCGGAUUUAUUGGGCGUAAAGGGCUCGUAGGUGGUUGAUCGCGUCGGAAGUGUAAUCUUGGGGCUUAACCCUGAGCGUGCUUUCGAUACGGGUUGACUUGAGGAAGGUAGGGGAGAAUGGAAUUCCUGGUGGAGCGGUGGAAUGCGCAGAUAUCAGGAGGAACACCAGUGGCGAAGGCGGUUCUCUGGGCCUUUCCUGACGCUGAGGAGCGAAAGCGUGGGGAGCGAACAGGCUUAGAUACCCUGGUAGUCCACGCUGUAAACGGUGGGUACUAGGUGUGGGGUCCAUUCCACGGGUUCCGUGCCGUAGCUAACGCUUUAAGUACCCCGCCUGGGGAGUACGGCCGCAAGGCUAAAACUCAAAGGAAUUGACGGGGCCCCGCACAAGCGGCGGAGCAUGCGGAUUAAUUCGAUGCAACGCGUAGAACCUUACCUGGGUUUGACAUGGAUCGGGAGUGCUCAGAGAUGGGUGUGCCUCUUUUGGGGUCGGUUCACAGGUGGUGCAUGGCUGUCGUCAGCUCGUGUCGUGAGAUGUUGGGUUAAGUCCCGCAACGAGCGCAACCCUUGUUCACUGUUGCCAGCACGUUAUGGUGGGGACUCAGUGGAGACCGCCGGGGUCAACUCGGAGGAAGGUGGGGAUGACAUCAAGUCAUCAUGCCCCUUAUGUCCAGGGCUUCACGCAUGCUACAAUGGCUGGUACAGAGAGUGGCGAGCCUGUGAGGGUGAGCGAAUCUCGGAAAGCCGGUCUCAGUUCGGAUUGGGGUCUGCAACUCGACCUCAUGAAGUCGGAGUCGCUAGUAAUCGCAGAUCAGCAACGCUGCGGUGAAUACGUUCCCGGG